This 769-nucleotide ribosomal RNA is filed under the name uncultured bacterium. RNAcentral's name for it is "bacterial SSU rRNA". It matches the Rfam family "Bacterial small subunit ribosomal RNA", at positions 28 to 776 of the family's 1533-position model. The record is from RNAcentral.
GACGAACGCUGGCGGCGUGCCUAAUACAUGCAAGUCGAGCGAAGUUUUUCUGGUGCUUGCACUAGAAAAACUUAGCGGCGAACGGGUGAGUAACACGUAAAGAACCUGCCUCAUAGACGGGGACAACUAUUGGAAACGAUAGCUAAUACCGGAUAACAGCAUAAAUCGCAUGAUAUAUGUUUAAAAGUUGGUUUCGGCUAACACUAUGAGAUGGCUUUGCGGUGCAUUAGCUAGUUGGUGGGGUAAAGGCCUACCAAGGCGACGAUGCAUAGCCGACCUGAGAGGGUGAUCGGCCACACUGGGACUGAGACACGGCCCAGACUCCUACGGGAGGCAGCAGUAGGGAAUCUUCCGCAAUGGGCGAAAGCCUGACGGAGCAACGCCGCGUGAGUGAAGAAGGAUUUCGGUUCGUAAAGCUCUGUUGUUAGGGAAGAGUGAUUGUAUAGUAACUAUAUACAGUAGAGACGGUACCUAACCAGAAAGCCACGGCUAACUACGUGCCAGCAGCCGCGGUAAUACGUAGGUGGCAAGCGUUGUCCGGAAUUAUUGGGCGUAAAGCGCGCGCAGGUGGUUUAAUAAGUCUGAUGUGAAAGCCCACGGCUCAACCGUGGAGGGUCAUUGGAAACUGUUAAACUUGAGUGCAGGAGAGAAAAGUGGAAUUCCUAGUGUAGCGGUGAAAUGCGUAGAGAUUAGGAGGAACACCAGUGGCGAAGGCGGCUUUUUGGCCUGUAACUGACACUGAGGCGCGAAAGCGUGGGGAGCAAACAGG